GACAGAGGGGGCAAGCGUUGUCCGGAGUUACUGGGCGUAAAGCGCGCGGAGGCGGUCUGCGGCGUCGGCGCUGAAAGCGCCCCGCUUAACGGGGCGAGGCGUGCCGAUACGCGUAGACUUGAGGCGAGCAGAGGGUGGUGGAAUUCCGGGUGGAGCGGUGAAAUGCGUAGAGAUCCGGAGGAACGCCAGUGGGGAAGCCGGCCACCUGGGCUCGUCCUGACGCUGCGGCGCGACCGCGUGGGGAGCAAACCGG
Molecule: ribosomal RNA, 253 nt
Filed under: uncultured bacterium
Lineage: Bacteria
Description: partial 16S ribosomal RNA
Rfam family: Bacterial small subunit ribosomal RNA
Source: RNAcentral